This 206-nucleotide long non-coding RNA is filed under the name Capsicum annuum. RNAcentral's name for it is "long non-coding RNA (CANN_LNC020621)". The record is from RNAcentral. Lineage: Eukaryota; Viridiplantae; Streptophyta; Magnoliopsida; Solanales; Solanaceae.
GUGUUUGCAUGUAUGGUAUGGGCCAAAACCUAGUCUAAAGUGUUCACUACUUAUGUGAAUUGUGAAUAUAAAUAAUAAAGACUUUUUCGUAAAAAUGUGCAUGUGAAAGUUGAAAGAAAGUGUACUGUAGAUGUGCUUAUUAAGCCUUUCCAGCUCUUAAGCUUCUCCUUCUUCCUUGAGUCAACCCUAAUCUUGCUAGUUCAGUU